RNAcentral lists this long non-coding RNA (233 nucleotides) under Homo sapiens (human). RNAcentral describes it as "HSALNT0219439". The record is from RNAcentral. Lineage: Eukaryota; Metazoa; Chordata; Mammalia; Primates; Hominidae.
CUUGCUUUACCUCAUUGUGUAAGACAAGCGUCAAAAACAGCUUCAACCUAUCUUGAACAAGAGAACUUACCUCCAAAGGCUUAUCAUCUGUCUUCCACUUAUCCAACAAGCUGCUAUGGCCACUGCCUGUGCCGCACCUGGAACCACCGCCAGCCCCACUACUGCCUCCACUACCACUGGUUCUCCCACCCUGAUCAGCUGCUUGCUGCUGCCAUCUUAUCCGCUUCUGCCUG